AACGGCCGUACCAUGAUGAAUAUACCGGUUCUCGUUAGAACACCGAAGUCUAGCAUCAUUGGGCGCGGUCAGUACUUGGGAGGGUGACCACCUGGGAACACCGCGUGCCGUU
Molecule: ribosomal RNA, 112 nt
Filed under: Caerostris darwini
Lineage: Eukaryota; Metazoa; Arthropoda; Arachnida; Araneae; Araneidae
Source: RNAcentral